UUCCGGUUGAUCCUGCCGGACCUGACUGCUAUCGGAUUGAUACUAAGCCAUGCGAGUCAUUGUAGCAAUACAAGGCGGACGGCUCAGUAACGCGUAGUCAAUCUACCCUAUGGACGGGAAUAACCUCGGGAAACUGAGAAUGAUGCCCGAUAGAACAUUAUACCUGGAACGGUUUAUGUUUCAAAUGAUUUAUCGCCGUAGGAUGGGACUGCGGCCUAUCAGUUUGUUGGUGAGGUAAUGGCCCACCAAGACUAUUACAGGUACGGGCUCUGAGAGGAGUAGCCCGGAGAUGGGUACUGAGACACGGACCCAGGCCCUAUGGGGCGCAGCAGGCGAGAAAACUUUGCAAUGUGCGAAAGCACGACAAGGUUAAUCCGAGUGGUUUCUGCUAAAGAAACCUUUUGCUAGUCCUAGAAACACUAGUGAAUAAGGGGUGGGCAAGUUCUGGUGUCAGCCGCCGCGGUAAAACCAGCACCUCAAGUGGUCAGGAUGAUUAUUGGGCCUAAAGCAUCCGUAGCUCGUUUUGUAAGUUUUCGGUUAAAUCCAUACGCUUAACGUAUGGGCUGCCGGGAAUACUGCAUAACUAGGAAGUGGGAGAGGUAGACGGUACUCGGUAGGAAGGGGUAAAAUCCUUUGAUCUAUUGAUGACCACCUGUGGCGAAGGCGGUCUACCAGAACACGUUCGACGGUGAGGGAUGAAAGCUGGGGGAGCAAACCGGAUUAGAUACCCGGGUAGUCCCAGCUGUAAACUAUGCAAACUCAGUGAUGCAUUGGCUUGUGGCCAAUGCAGUGCUGCAGGGAAGCCGUUAAGUUUGCCGCCUGGGAAGUACGUACGCAAGUAUGAAACUUAAAGGAAUUGGCGGGGGAGCACCACAAGGGGUGAAGCCUGCGGUUCAAUUGGAUUCAACGCCGGG
This 914-nucleotide ribosomal RNA is filed under the name uncultured archaeon. RNAcentral's name for it is "bacterial SSU rRNA". It matches the Rfam family "Archaeal small subunit ribosomal RNA", at positions 1 to 922 of the family's 1478-position model. The record is from RNAcentral.